This 486-nucleotide ribosomal RNA is filed under the name uncultured bacterium. RNAcentral describes it as "partial 16S ribosomal RNA". It matches the Rfam family "Bacterial small subunit ribosomal RNA", at positions 28 to 507 of the family's 1533-position model. The record is from RNAcentral.
GACGAACGCUGGCGGCGUGCUUAACACAUGCAAGUCGAACGCUGAAGACCUGGCUUUUGUUGGGUUGGAUGAGUGGCGAACGGGUGAGUAACACGUGAGUAACCUGCCCUCUUCUUUGGGAUAACGCCCGGAAACGGGUGCUAAUACUGGAUAUUCUCUGAUCUUCGCAUGGGGGUUGGUGGAAAGGUUUGUUCUGGUGGGGGAUGGGCUCGCGGCCUAUCAGCUUGUUGGUGGGGUGAUGGCCUACCAAGGCUGUGACGGGUAGCCGGCCUGGGAGGGUGACAGGGGACAUUGGGAAUGGGAUACGGUCCAGAGGGCUACGGGAGGCAGCAGUGGGGAAUAAUGCGCAAUGGGCGAAAGCCUGAUGCAGGGGCGAGGCGUGAGGGAUGGAGGACUUCGGGUUGGAAACCUCUUUCGAGAAUGGUCAAGCCGGAAAGGUGGGUUGUGGUGAGGGUAGUGGGUAAAGAAGCGCCGGCUAACUACGUG